Molecule: non-coding RNA, 23 nt
Filed under: Cricetulus griseus (Chinese hamster)
Lineage: Eukaryota; Metazoa; Chordata; Mammalia; Rodentia; Cricetidae
Source: RNAcentral
ACUCUGUGUGGAUACAUAUGCAU